UUUUUUUUUUUUUCUUGAUAAACCAGCAAAAUGUGAUACUAAAAAGACUAGUACAUAAGUUUUAUACAUCAUAAAAUAGAUGGUUAUAUAUAAACUGGGGUGGUUAUAGCCACCAGGAAGAACCAAAUUUUCCCAAAAAAGCGAGCCGAGAUCAGCAGGCACAUGUGAAGCGAUUGCUUGAAUGGGAGCUUCUAAUGUUUUGUCAGUAACAUGCACUAAAUGCCAUCUUACCCAUUUGCCUAUAAGACAAUUUUCCUGUUCUUAAACAGACCAACUUUUUCACGUAGUAAUGUAUUAAGCGCGAGGCAAAGUGUAUAUAAGUUAACAAGCUGUGGAGAUUCUGCUGAAAGCAAUGUUAGCAAGUUCAACUGAAACAAAAGGAAAUCAAUCAAGGAGCAUCUGCUACUACAGUAGUUUUAUUCUGGUAUAGAACAACGUAACUACUACUACAGUAGUUUUAUUUAUAGAAAAGUUGGCAUUCUGCUUGCCUGCCGGCCGUCUGUCUUGAUGUCCUGUGGGCUGUGGAUGACACUUAAAAGUUUUAUAUUUUCGCAAAAUGCUUUAUUUGAUUGGAUGAAGAAUGUGCUAUUGCAUUAUUACUGUUUUUAGUUGAGAGUUGAGACAUGACUGUCAAACAGCUGCUGUGAACUCUUAAUCCACAGAUCAGGUCAGAAGCAAGGAGUGUAUUAGAAAAAAAGAAAAUAAUCCCACCCGAACCAAACAGACCCUUAACUAUUUAACAGAUCACUCUUAUUUAGUAUUUUUAUUUUUUUUAGCGUACAUGAGAAGUUUGAAUGGUUUUGUUUGUUACUGUAACAACGUUGGCCCCGCAUUUUUUUUUUUUUUUAAUAAACAGAAGACUACUGGAACCUUGCUUUUAGCAAAACUGUCAACCUUCAAUUAUUUUUUCAUGUUCUUGAGCUACCCUCUAUUGUUACUGGAAAGAGUUCAAGAAAGAAAUAUUUCUUGAGACUUGAGAGUUUUAAUGGCAGGACCAAAGUUGAAAUUGAUAGUGGAAAAAGUUGUAAGAUUAGAAGGAGAAACACAAACACUACUACAACGGAAAGAUGCAGGAUUAACUACUACUCGAUUUGGAAGAGUUGUUAGAGGUAAAUAUUUUACUAACAACAACUUUACUACUAGUAGUAGUAGUAUUAUUAAAGAUGCUGGAAAUAUUUCUUCUUCUAAACAUUAUUUGUCAAUUGAAUUCAAAGAUAUGAAAUGGGUUGUUUCUAAUUGUGAUCUUGAUACAUUAAAUUCAAAUGGUAGUACAUUUUUGAAUGAAAUUCAAAUUAAUCAAGGAAAUAAAGAUAUUGAGCUUAAAAAUGGUGAUAUUAUUAAAUUUGGUGAUAAACAACUUACUUCUAUUAAAGUUUGUAUUGAUGAUGAUGUGGAGGAAAGUGAGUUGGAGGUGAAGAAACAAACAAAGGGAGUUGAGAUUGUAGGAAAAGGAGUUGGAGGAGUAGUAGAAACAGUUGAUAAUGUUAAGGAAGUGAAGAGAAAACGCGGGCGUCCUAAGAAACAAGUUCUCGAAUCUAGUCUAGUUACUGAGAAUAAAGAUGAUUCUGUUCAGGUUGAGAAUGUUAAGGAAUUGAAGAGAAAACCCAGGCGUCCCAAGAAACAAGUUCUGGAAUCAAGUCUACUUACUAAGACUAAUCCUGCUUUUGGUCAGGUUGAGAAUGUUAAGGAAGAUGAUUUGGAAAGUGGUGUUGGUCAGGUUGAAAAUGUUAAGGAAGGUGAUUUGGAAAGUGGUGUUGGUCAGUCGAGAAGAUAUCAAAUAUGUGGUGCUGUGACAAAGGAACAACAAGCUCCAGAAUCUAGUUUAACACCGGUUAAUAAAAAUCAGGAGUUUUGUGGAAGAGGGAAGACUGAUGUAGAGAAGAAACAAGAGGAGGCAUCUGUUGCAGAGAGUCAGGAUAGUGGAAAUGGUCAAAGAGGGUUGAAUACAGCUUCAAAGGAUGAAGUUCUAGAAAAUGUUGAUGUGUCCGAGAUGCAGAUGGUCGCAAACAAUGAAGUUUUGGAAAGUUCUCAUUAUUCAAAAGGUGAAUCUUCUCAGUCUGUCCCAGUUAGUGCCCCUGAAGCUCCCAACGUUCAAGAGAUGUUGACCCUGGCGAAACUGCAGAAAAUGACUUUGGGAGAACGGAUUGAUUAUAUAGAGGUUUGUAACAAAGCUGAUAAGAUUAUUGAGGAAAUGAGAAACGGAGCUGAGCAAAUUAAAAAAUUGAUGGACGAGCAGCGAAAUUAAAACUUAAAACAAAGCGCACUUUGUCUUAGUUGAUGGUGGUUUACCAUUUCAAACUUGCAUGUAUAUCUGUCAAGCAAGAAGGUUUAAGGUAGGUAAGUCUACAUCUCUCUAAAGAAGCAGUGAUUGAAGAUUAUACAAUAACUGCUCUCCUUUUCUUCAACCCUUCCAUAUAGCCGGUAUGCCUAAAUGCCAACUUAUUCUUUUGUAGAUGAAUUCAGGCUAAGUAUUAGUUUCUUCCACUGUAUUUUGCUUGUGUUUUUAGACUGAGAACCACACUUACUGAUGCCAUAUGUUGUUUACCAAGUAAUCUAAUAAAAUUAUCUUCAGGGUUUGAACUUUAUCACUUUUUGUUUUUUGUUUUUUUUUUUUUUUGAUUGGCAAGCAGGGUUGAGGGGACCCUUACCCCUUUUAAAUUACGUGUGGAAACUUAUAUCAACAAUCAGCUGUUGACGUGUUUCGAACCCACAACCUCUCCACUUUGUGAGAGGGGUGCUACCAUUGAGCCACAGGCCCAUUCACCACUUUUUCUAUUUUCUUGUGCUCAUUGAACUUCUUUGCUUACAACUCUUAUAUAAUUAUGAUACCAUACAACUAAUUUGUAAGUACAAACUUCAUUAGUCACAGUAAUUAUACAGUAAUACAUUACCAACAUGACGCAACCUAGGUCAUGGAAUAUGUAAAUUAUCUUCAGAAGGUACGCAAAGUGAUCUGCAGCUUACUGUCUGCGUCUUUAAUGAUUCUGAAUUCUGAUUGAGAGAGGGAGGGCAGGACAAUGUGAUCAUAUGAGGCAGAUUUUGAUUUUCGUUGCAAACCCCAGUUUGUGUUAUGCAGACCUAUCAGAUUUAUUGAAAAAAGUUUCAACGUUAUCAUAGGCUUAUUGUAUGAAGUUUCAAAGUUUCAAUAGCAGCAACGAUGAUACGAACGCUCUUUGAACUAGUCAACUAGCAACAAUGAGGUUUGCAGAUUAUGGUUCCCAUCAGACAUACUAUUAGUUAGAGCUAUAAAUGGUCCUGCGGAUGAAAGCUCUUCAAAAUCUAGGGACAAUUUACAUCUUCAUUCUUCUCAUUGAGAAUUGCUUGAAAGUUCUUAUCAAUUUUGUCAAAAACAUGAAUGAACCUUGUGUCCACAACUUAGGUGAUCUUGGAAAUCGUUCCACGGGAUCUCUCAGAUCUCCUCUUUGAAGGUUACCUAUAUUUACUAUUGAUUCUGUAGGCUAUUAUAAUUGUGUCGACAAUUGUGUUCUAAAGACUUCAUGCUAGAGCAUUUGGCCGAAAUCCCAUGGCACAACAUAUAAAGAGAGAUUAUCGAUAACCACCCCACCCCAAACAUUUUUAUGUCACAAGAAAUUUUGGUCAUGCUUCACUGGUGUGAAUAGCUAUAAUAGUCUGACACCGAUGAAGGUCUGUAAACGAAUGCCAGAGGAUAUUUUUGAUUGUGAAAGGUAAGGGAUCUUUCAAAAUCUGCUCAAGCAGGCUUUCUGCUACAAUAUAUGGCAAACAGAGAAAGACAAGCAGAAUCACUGAAGAUAGUAUAGUGAGAAAACCUUAAGCCUAGCGAGCGGGUAACAUUCAAACAAACGGCAACCAUUCAGGCAGUAAAAAGAGUUCAUAUAACUUCAUAAAGUAGAAUUAAAAGCAAAAGGUGGCAUUUUAAUAUAUAAAUGAAAAUAAUGACAACAUUACCAAGAUGGGAAACAGGGAAAGAUAACAAAUUAACAACUCCCCAACUCUCAACAACAAUAGGAUGUCCAUAGAAAACCAUCCUGCCUGUUGGUGUUUCAAAACAAAAGAGAAUAAGAAGCAGUACCAACAAUGAUUUAGAGAAAGAAGCAAUAAAUCGAGCAUAUAUAGAUUCAAGGAAACCAUGGUGAAUUAAAAUUCUGGGCAAGUAUUCAUCAGUAAACAUAUCUUUUAGUUUCAUCAUGUUGGUACUUGGUAGAACCAAAGCCUUACGUUUGGCUGCAACUCAGAGUUUAAAACAAUGUUUCCACCUCACUCCUAAGUAGUAUAUACAGAUAAUUUACCUAUGUAAUAAGAUACCAAACACACUAGCUAGUAGCUACUCUUGAGUCGUCUGUAUAAUUUUGAACCUGCUUAGUCCAUAUCAAAGCCCUCAGUCAUCAUCAGCAAUUCCACCAUUCUAGCACCAUCAUUUAAUUUGGUAGUUUUAGCCUUUUAGGACCUUAAUGCCAUCAACACAUCUCUUCAACAAAUCCCCUUACAAAUCAAGAUGGAAACAAUCUCAAAGAUCAAGAUACUCUAAAUGGGGACAUCCAUCAAAGAAUGGCUUGCAAUCCAUCAUUAGUCAUGCAUCCUGUUUCCAACAAGACUAAGAAAGUGCAAUCCUGGCAUAUUGUUUGCAACAGCAUAAGCCUCCUUGUCAUUGUAGAUACAAAAGGAAACAUGAUCCCGAUCAAAUCGAAAAGAUUUCAGUAAAGGGCAAGAAAGAACCCCACAGUUGCAAUUGUCUUUUCAGUUAAUGAAUUUUUUUUCCACUGCAAGCACCUCUAAAUCUCUAACAGAGGGUUGUCCUUGACUAGCUAACUAGCUUAACUAGCGCGCAAUCUGGAAUAAAUUCCCAUGAUGUUACAGAUUCAUCCAAGAGAAGAUCAAAAUACUCCAUGGAUUUUUUUUUAUUUCAAUGCAACGAUAGAUAGGCUCUUUGGUGAGUUUAUACCCUGAAGCACAAACGAAUUUAGCACAAAGAUCUUGUAAGCAAGACCAUUUGCGACCAAAAGAAAAAUGAUUUAACAUGCUCAUGAGGCUUAGUAUGCUCCUGAGGCUUCAUACUAAGGUAGCUUUACAACGUUUGUCAAAUUUCAAGAUAAACACGUAUUAUAAGCUUUUACUGGAGUAGCUGGUGAGUGGUGCUCUGCCAGGUCUGGACGUCUGGUCCAAUCAAGGGUAAAUGAUAUUGGGGCUCUUGUCGUGUGUUAAAUGGUCGCUUCGAAGGCUCUCAGGCUGAAAUGCCAAACAAUGUUGAUAGCUACCUCCACAUUAUGGAUAUCUGCGGUUUGCAGAUUAUAACAGCUAGCAGCAACGAUGAUACAAACGUUCUUUGAACUAGUCAACUAGCAACAAUGAGGUUUGCAGAUUUUGGUUUCCAUCACUCAAAGCUUCAGACAUACUAUUUAAAGCUAUAAACGGUCCGGCAGAUGAAAGCUCUUCAAAAUCUAGGGACAAUUCCGGCAGAUGAAAGCUCUUCAAAAUCUAGGGACAAUUCACAUCUUCAAUCUAAGAAUUGCUCGAGUUCUUAUCAAUUUUGUCAAAAACUAGAAGGAACCCUGUACCAGUUCACCUCUUGUCUCUUGCCUCCAAGUUCAGUUGAAGUCGAGCCAGAAGCCCAAAAGUAGACUUCCCUUCCACUGGGACAUAUGAUGCUGUAGGCAUCUCUAUUUUUUUUUUCACGCCAUUAAAGCUUCCUGGUUCUACAACCAUGGUUUCAAGUUGUUGGGCACUUACUAUGUCAUUAAGUGUAUAAUUAAUCUCAAAUUCCUAUCAACCAACGUACAUCAACAUAUAAAAAACUAAUGGAAUAUUCAACAAUGGUCAUGUGAUUAACUGUGUAAUGAUCUCAUAUUCCUAUCAGCCUACAUCAAUAUACAAAAAAUAACUAAUGGAAACUGAAAAAAAAAUAAAAAUGAACAAUCGAGCAAAGUGUGAAAUCUGCAUGUGAGGUCACAACAGGUAAAUUACCUGCCAAUUGCAUUAGUAAAGUAAUAUAGUUCUAAGCUUCUACUACUCUAAUAGGACACAACCAGAACACCACUUAAUUCAUUGAUGCCUCAUGAAUGAGUAAAGAAUUGUAUAUUUUCAGAAAUGAUAUGCCUAAUUACCUUCUUGUCAAAAAGGCGUUUACGGCCAUAUAAAGCAAAAUCAUAUUCAUAUCUAACCCCGGUAAAUCAUCGAACUUGCUCCUUUAAAUGGAUAAACUCUCUUAACCGUUAACAUUACUUGGAAAUUCAAAGGAAACUAGUCUUGCAUUAUUCAGUGUUAGAUAUUGUUGGCAGGCCUGAUUAGAACCCAAAAAAUGAUAGCAGUACAACAAUGGCGAAGAAGGAAACAGAGAUCACACACUAAUUCAACAAUAUUUUACUUCAUACAAUAUACCUAUCAACAAUAUUAUCAAAAUUUUAUCUAGCAAAAAAAUGUCCAUCUAAAGCAUAUUUCACCAGGAAAACCAUCCUCCAUCAAGUAUUUCAAACGAAGUAAGAUUUAAAGAGUAACAGUAGCCAAAAAAAUUUAGAAGACGAAGCAAUGGUGUAUUCGAUCUAAGAAUGCAAUUUUCGAAACAUACUGCUCUUGCCUUAUUCCUAAUGUAAAUAGAUAGAUAAUAUAAAGAAAACACAUACUAGUCUCAUCUGCAUACUAAUCAAGGGAGAAACUCAGAUCAACACUCAUUUGGUAGUCAUCAGUCAUCAGUGGAAUCAUUUGGUAGUUUUAGGACCUUAAUAUCAUCAACACAUCUCUUGAGCAAAUUCCCUUUUAGAUCAAGACAAAAACAUUGCCGGAGAUCAAGAUACUCUAAAUGUGGACAUCCAUCAAGAAUGGCUUCCAACCCAUCAUUUGUUAUUUUGUUUCCAACAAGACUGAGACUUAGCAAUUCAGGCAUGUUGUUUGCAACAGCAUAAGCUUCCCUGUUAAACUCGUCCUCGUCAAUAUCUGAUUCCAAAUGCUUCUCACCCUCAUACUCCAAUCGAAAGGAUUUCAAUAAAGGGCAAGAAAGAGCCAGAGUUUCAAUUGUUUCUUCAGUGAAACAACAACAACUCAGUACAAUCUCCUCUAAGAAAGGGUUAUUCUCAAGUAGUUUAAUCAAAACAUAAUCUGAAACUUGAUAACAGUCUACAAGUCGAAAACAUCUUAACGAAAAAGGAGAUUGAUGAAUGAUAUGAUAAACAAGCUCGUUAGUACAAAAAAACUCAAUAGAAAAUUCUUCCAAAUCCCCAUUACAUCUACUCAAUGCUUCUUUAGCUAAUUCCUCAAACUCAAAAUAAGAACCUGGGUCAUAAGCAGCAUCACCAGGGUCAGACAAGCCACGCCAUGGGUUUCGCAGAUCGAUACAACGAAAGAAUUGUGGCUGUUUGGCAAGUUUUCGCCAUGGAGAACAAACCCUUUGAGCACGAAAGAUCAAAUCAAUAGCCCCAAGUUUCAUAAAGAUGAGAUCCAUAACAUCUUGAGGUAAGUCUAACCAGUUCCUCAUUUCUUUUGCAUUCACAGACUCCAUGUGAAGAAGGAACUGAUCACUGAUGAUGAGAAUUGGGAGUAAAGAAAGCAGUUUUAAACUAAAUUAUAAGAUUCCAGACCCAAUUAUUUUAGCCUAUAAUUCAGGAAACGAAGAUCCCUCCAAUCCUCGUUUUCGAUUUCACGUAUGUUUCGCCUAACCACUCUCCUCGUUUUUUCUCAAAAUCUCAUGAUUUCCGGGAUUCUUAAAUACAGUCUACUUGUACACUGUAAACAGUUAGGGCAGGAAACGGAUCGGAUACGUAUCCGAAAUUUUUUCAGUAUAUCCGUUUCCGGAAUUUUCUGUACCAUAUCCAUAUUUGAUUAUCCGGAUUCGAUAAUCCGUUUUUAAUUUGGAUCAAAUAUCCGAAUGAUUUGAUUUUUUGUAACUAAAAAUUAAAUAUGAGAAAUUAUAAUAAUUUUUUUAAAAUAUAUUUGGAUUUUAUAAAUAAAAAAUUUAAAUUAUUAGGUUUUUAUUUUUAUAUAUAAUUUGAUGACCAUAUUAGCCUUGUAAAAAUGGUAUAUUAUUUGCAUAAAAGCAUAGGUGAAAAAAUCGUUUAGGGGCGGAUAUCCGAUCUGCCAAAAACCGGAUUAUUCCGCGGAUAUACGACCUCCCGUGUCGGAUUUUUGAGGUUUGGCAAAUUCAAAAAAACCGGAAUUUUUCGCGGAUAUUCGCGAAAAAUUCGGCAAAUUGGAAGGUUUUCUGCACUUUCCGUGUUUUUUUUUCUGAUUUCGAUAUAUAAACUUAUAAUUAAAAGAAAAACAUACAUUACAAAUUAAACACACGACAAAUCAUACAAGGAAGCUAAGACGGAACUAUUACACAAGAUAGUUUUACUCAUAGGUGAAAAAAUCGUAAAUAUCGGGCGGAUAUUCAUAGAACUUUUAUAUGUUUCUAAUACAAGAACUAAACACAAACAACCUCAUUACAACUCAACCUAUAGUUUUAUUUUAAUAAUUAAAAUAAAAGACAUGCUAACCCCAGAAUGAUAGACGCCCCUUGUCAAACCGAUGAGCUUCGAGUCGCAUACGUGUGGGGACGAACUCAGUACAGUAAUAUUCCCAUGACAUUGUUUGCUCGUACGACCUGAAUUGGUCAAUAUGCAUAUCAUAUGCAUCUUGAUCCAUACAAUACGGAGCAAAUGAUUCAAAGAUAGGAAAUCUCGAGUAUUGUUGAACCGGCAUUAAUGUAUCGGCUGACUGCACGUCGGACCCACUUGUCAUUGGGGCCAACAAACUCCCUAUAUUAGGAAACCAAGAACCACUGUCAUCUGGUUGGGUUUGGUAGGAUGGUACACUGGAAUCAUCACUUUGGGAGGUUCCUAUGUUACCAUAAGAAAAAUGAGGGUAAACAUAGGUAGGUUGGAUGUUGGUUUGAGAAUAAGGGAGGUGCUUGGAUACCAAUUAUUCAUUACACAAAAACAAACCUUGGAUACAAACAGUAUACUGGUUUGCCAAAAGUGAGAGAGAACUUCACUUUGGCAUGGGCGUGCUUUUUUUUCGUUUCUUUCUGAUAUAUUGCUCUUGGAGGGCUAUCAAGUUCGUCGCGAAAGUUUCCAAACGUCUAGUGCCUUUUGGACCUUCUUUGAUAAUCUCAUCGAAAAUUCUAGUUCGGGGGGAUUAAAAAUAAAGGUGUUAAUUUUAUAAUCGAAAAUUUCAUAAAUUUCGAUAAAUAUCGGUUUUUGCCGAAUUAUGCCGCGAAUAUCCGAUAAAUGCCGACCGGCAUGGGGUGUUUUAAAAUCCGUUUAUAUGCCGUAUGCCGUACCAUGUCGAUCUCCAAAAAAAUGGAAUAUAUCGCGAAUAUCCGGUCGGCAAAAACGAUUUUUUCACCUAUGCAUAAAAGUAUAAAUCUGGAUAUAUCCAAAUUUUAUCCGUAUCCGAGCUGGUCAAAAUAUUAUAUCCUUAUCCGUAUCCGAAUUCAAAUCUGGAUAAAUUUUUUGAACCAUAUCCGUUAUAUUCGGAUUUCGAUCGGUCGAAUAUUCGGAUAAAUCCGACCCGAUUUCCUGCCCUAGUGUAAAGUCUGUAACUCAUCAGUCUUUAAACAGAGAAAAUUUGGGGUUUGGAUCAAAUGUCAAACCCAACCCAAAAACCUAGCUACUACAUUUGACAAACGACAAUCAACACUAAAUUCUUGCCCUCUAUUAAAAUGGCCCUGCUGAUGAAAAAUGAUUAUCUCUAUUAUGUGACUUUACAAAGUGCAGCAGUAUAAUGUUAAUGCCUAUUGCAGUAGUUGAUUGGCGGGCAAACGAUAAUUUUCAGUGAACUUGAGGUUAGGCGAAAUCCAAUCAUAUUUAUUGUUGCAUCAGAUUUAUAAAGUGUACUGCUAAUGAAAGCUCUUCAAAAUCUCAUCACUGAGAGACUGCUCGAAAAUAAAUAUAUCGAUCACUGAUCCAAGGUUAUUUUGAUAUAAUUCCAUGGGAAAACUUAUAGGGUGUAGUAUGAUCCAAGGUUAUUUUGAUAUAAUUCCAUGGGAAAACUUAUAGGGUGUAGUAUGAUCCAAGGUUAUUUUGAAAUAAUUCCAUGGAAAAACUUAUAGGGUGUAGUAGUUUUUAAUUCUUACUGGGUGAAUAUAGUAGUAGUUCUUACUGACGUUAAUGCUCUUGCCUCCACUUUCAGUUAAAGUCAAGCCAGAAGCCCAAAAGUAGACUUCCCUGUAGGCAUCUCCAUUUUUUUCACAUCAUCGAAGUUCAGUCCUGCUUCUACCACCAACCAUGGUUUCAAAUUGUUGGACACAAAGCCACAAACCAUGUCUGUACUUAAUCUCAUAUUCCUAUCAGCCUACAUUGAUAAUGUAUAUAAUAUACAACCGUGAUACUGUGGAGACCAACAUUAGGGGAAGAGAGAGCCAGAGAAAAGAUAAGAGAUUUCAAAAAACAAAAAAAAGACGGACAAAAAAAAAAUUAAAAAGGGAAAAAAGGGACAAACACAAGUUUGAGUUCCACCUGACUCUAAAUGAACCUCCGAACGUUGGUCGAUAAAACAACCAACGGAAACUGAUAAAAAAUGAAUCAACAAUCAGGCAAAGUGUCAAUCUGCAGGUGAGGUCGCAACAUGUAAAUUACCAAUUGCAUUAGUAAUAAAGGAAUAUAGUUCUGAGUUUCUAUUUGGACACAAUCAGAUCAGAUCAGCGUUUAAAUUGGGUUCCUCAUUGCAGAUGGCCUUACACAAAUCCUAUUAUAUCCUUAAAAUUAUUUUUUUAAUGGAGAAUAAAUGAGGACAUUUUGGGAAUAAAUAUGUCCGAAAUAAACGGACCCUAAAACAUGAGAAACAAAAUUUCUUUUGACUGAAGUCUAUUUAAUCAAAUCUCCUUAAACCCUUCUCCCUCCUCUCUUCUGAUUUCUUCCUCUUCGUUCGCCAUGGAAGAAGAUGACGUAGAGAAAGCUGUAAUGGCUUAUUUGAAGAAGAAAGGCUUUAAAGCAACUGAACUCGCAUUACAAGAAGAACAGAGUAGAAAUUCAUCUUCUUCUGCUUCUAAAACUGAUCCCGAUAUUGCCAAGCAGAUUCUCUCCUUCGCAGAGUACUCUCCCUUUAUCUCUCUCUCUACUCUCUUAUUGUUUUUCUUUUAUGUUUUUCUCUUUGGUGACUUUAUGUGUGAACUAUUAAUUGGAUAAUUAGGAAGAUAGUAUACUAGGGUUUUGAAGUUUUGUUGAAAUAGAUCCAAUUUUAGACAUUAUUGCAACUAUAUUGAGAUCAAGGAGAUUGAAAAGGUAUAAUUUUGCGUCUUCUGUUAAAAAUCCGGUGGUCCAAUUACCAAAAACUUCACUUUUGAACUUAAUUGGAACUUUGGGUAUAGCUGUAUUGCUUAAAAAUCUAUCAUAAAAGUAAAAAGAAGAAGAAUGUGAGGUUAUUUGUGUUUAAGUUUUCAUUGUGACCAAGGGAUGAGGUCUUAAAGGCUAGCAAAAUUUUCAUCUAGAUGACAUGUAAAAUGGCCCCAACAUCGCUAGGACCAGGGAAAUGAAUAAGGGUCGGAUUGGCCAACUUCCCAUAUGGCGCUGAAAGGGAACAUGUUUAACAAUCAUCGUCUAAAAUGUGGAGGAAUAAAAGAAGAAUAAAGAAGAGAGAUGAUGAGUUAGACUUCACUGUUUUCUAGGGUUUGUUAUUAUUGUAGCCCCUUCCUCCAUUAUUAGAGGUAUUUUCGUUAUUGUUGAAGGUUGGAGAUUCUUUUUAGCACCUUGCUGAAAGGUGAUCCUCCCCGUCAUGUACGUAAGUUCUGUUAUGCUGUGGUAGUUAAUGACCAAAAUGACAGCUCUUUCAACUCAUGAGAGAUGAUGUUGAUCUAGGCCCAGGAAGUGCCUAAUUAAGAGUAUGUCCUUCAUUAUAAGUUCACUAGAGAAAAAUAUAUUACAAACAAUAAAGGACUAUUUCCAAGCUUCUGACACCUAUCAAAAAUAUUAUGCCAGUAAUAGACAUACUUUUAAGUUAUCAAGUUUCUAUACUACACCAAGAUACGUUCCAGGGAAGUUACUUCCACUUAAAUGUAGUUCAAAGACAUCUGGUUCUCUCCUUUGGGGCCUAUUUCCCUUUGCCAUUGUCUGCCUGUCAGGAGUGCUCAAUGUGCAUCCAAUUUUAGGAGAGACAUGUUCUUUUAGAUGCUCUAAUUCUCUUGGAGAAGGCCAUUCUCUGGACUGGUAUUUCAAUCACAGCGAAAGGAAGGAGGUUUGAUGCACUUAUCUUUCAAUGGGAUAGUUUACUACUCAGUACAACAAUACCACAUGCCUCUUACGUUCCUCGUCUUACUCUAUUGUCUAUUGCUGUGUAAUGGAGUAGGGUGAACCCUUCCUUCACCUCUACUUGUAUAUUUGAACCUACUAAUACAGUGUAAAUAAGUGUGAUCCUUUAAUACCUACACAAAAAUUUUGCAUCACAUUUCAGUAGAUGCUAUUCAAUAUUUCAUCCCGUGUUAUAAAAAAAGGAAGUGCCAUUGUUGAGGCUACACUGUUGUUAUCUAUCCUGCAGCUGCAGGAUUUAUAGUCAGCAGACUUUCAUUUGUAGACUGUUUUUUUCCUGUACUUGUUUAUGUUGUUUUCCAAUUUAUGGGCAGCUGGUACAAGUUUCUCUCACCUAACCUAUUUGGCUGUAAUACACUAAUACUUUCUUUAAAGGCGAAUAAGAGUUCUGGUUAGCCUAACUAUAAUGAUCUUCCCAAGUCCCUGUCUCCCCGACAGUCCUUGGCGCUGACUACACUAAUGAUGUUCUUGGGGUGUAGUUGAAACUUGUUACAUUUCCGUGGAAAGUCCUGUUUUCAUGUCAUUAUGUAAAUAAAUGAUAUAGUGAACGAGAUUUUUGUUCUAACAAUGGAGUUGAGUCAUAACUGUAUAUGGGGGAAAGCCUUUUUGGUGCCCAUUGUUGGUCUGUUAGUAGAAUAAGUUUUCGUGAGAACAUACUGUAGCGACACACUGACACUAUUAUUCUUUUCUGAAAAUAUAUUUUUGGUUGUUGAAUUAGUCAAAUGUCUUUCUUGGUAUAAAUUCAUGUUCGUUUGCUCGACUUGUUUAUUAUCAUUCCUCAGGGAAUCCCCAGACUGUUCAGGAAAUUUUGACCAUUAUCUUUUUCAUUCCAUAAGAUGACAGAAUAUCAUAUUAUCUGCCUGCUUUCCCAGCUGACUUCUAUGUUUAUUAAUCUUGUUGUUUAUUUUAUUAUAAUGAUAUUGCACAUUUCUACAUUUUUAAUGGGUGGUUUAAAUUUCAGAUCAGAGAAUGGUCCAACACGAUACCAUGAUGGAUACAGUAAGCUUAGGUCAUGGACAUAUAGUUCAUUGGAUUUGUACAAGGUAAUCGUUAGCAGCUUAUGACUUUUACUACUGGAAAUGAAGUCAGUUACCCUAUGAUUCCUAGUUAUUUCCUACAUUUGAAAUAUAAAAUAUUUUCAUGUACUUUUAGUUUCAAUUUGAUCAAAUAAUGGAUUAUUAAAAUUCCUUUCAUGAACUAUAAUCUAUAGGCCAUGGUCUGGUUUUUGUUAGAUGCCUUAGUCCAAAUCCCCUUAUAUUAUGCUGUUAUGUAUGUGGAGUUUGAUUCAUUGUGUACCUAUGUAUGACUUUUGCAGCAUGAAUUGCUACGUGUGCUUUAUCCAGUAUUCAUUCAUUGUUUUAUGGAUCUUGUGGCAAAAGGGUAUAGCCAAGAAGGUAUACUUCAAAUUCUUUGGAAUUCAUAUUAUUGUUUUCACUAGACAGAAAUAUUCAGAUCUAGUGUUAAUGACACUCUUCUUAUGUACAAAUUGAAAACCAGCACGUACUUUUUUCAAUAGCUUCCGAGAAGACCAUGAAUUGAUGCACUUGCGGGAUCUUCAAAAGUUAGAAGGCGUACUCUGCCCCUCUCAUCUUGAGGUUGUCUUUUCCGUUGAACUUUUAUUCACAUUUCACACUGUCGUAAUUCAAAAUUUGUUUAUAUAUUGUAAUCAUUUGAAUUUGCUGUGCCUGUUUCUACUUGGCAGGAGAUGGAAUUCGCUCAUUCUCUUAGGCAGAGCAAGGUCAACAUUAAAAUAUGUCAGGUGGUCUUCACUUAUUUAUUCUUUUCCUGAUUAUUUGUCAGGUGGCCUUUCAAUUCUUCUCAUUUCAUAAAAAUUCUGCAAUGCUGAAGGUUUCUUUUUGUCUUCAUUGUCAGUAUUCUUAUGAGCUUCUUCUGCAAUACCUACAUAAGACACAAUCCAUUACAAUGCUUGGAAUAAUCAACGAGCAUAUUAAUUUCCAAGGUAUGAGUCUGUACCUACUAUAUUUGUUUUGCAUUUAUUAAGUUACAUUUGCAAGUGUUUUCUCCUUGUCAAUCAAUGAUGCCGAUGUUGCACUCUAAACACUGGUUGACAGUUUCUCCUGGACAGCCCAGCUCCAUUUCUGACGAUGCGGACGCGGUAAUUCUAGUGGGGAGUAGCCAAGAUGCAGCGAAGCAGAUAAAUGAGAAAGAAAUACAUUGGGGGGUGAGUCUUUAAAUAACCAGUCAGCAAGUACAUUCUUUUGAUAAAAAAAAAAGUAAAUCCUUUUUAGCAAUAAUGAGAAUAGGUCAAAGCAUAGCUUCUAGUCAAUCCUAGUUAUAUCUCUGUGAUUAUGGACAACUGCGCCUUUGAAUUGUUAGUGAAAUACUCAUCCAAGUCGAGUUCAGACUGUUCCAACAUUUUACUUGUACUAGUUGUUUAGGCUUGUAUCAGUAGUAGGCCCUUGGCUGCUUUGCUUUGGCAAGACCUCUAUGAGAUCCUCCCUCUCUGGUCGCACCUUCUAGCUUUGUAAACUUGUCAUUAUCGAAUAAAGGUUUUACUUAGGCUAAAACAAGAGAUGAAAAGGAUAUGUUGCAUGUAGGUAACAAGCGAUCACGUUCAUUUGGAAAAAAAUUGGUAAUGGAAAUGAGGUACAUGUUAAUCUUAAUAUAUCUAAUUAACGUGACACAGUUGUGUGUCUGUAAGUUAGAAGCAGAUAAACUUGAGAAAAUAUACUUUUUUUGAUUGGCCUAUAUUUGUUUCUAGACUCCAGAGCAGUAAAGUAUCAAUUCUCUUCUCACUUUUCACUUCAAGCAUUCUUGGGAAAACUCAUCGCUUAGAGUAGUUAAUCCAAAGGAAACAUGGAGCGUUGUUGUUGACUGAAAACAUUAUGUUUUCUUUUUCUCUUACUGGGUAAUGCCACAACCAAUAUGAAAUUUUGAAUAAGUACCUUAAACUAAUAGAGAAAUGUUCCCUGUUCAUCGUCUUCUUCAAUAUAAUUCUAGGCCUGAGAGACGAACACGCAAAUAAAGAACAGAGAAAUGGAAUUUGUAAUAUUCUAUCAAAUUAUGUACUCAAAUAUUUGUAGAAAUUAUUAAAUAAAAAUUGAAAGAGAAAACAUCCUUUACUUUAGUCAUUUGUCUGACCUAUUACCACAUGUUAGUGUUUUUGCGUAGUACAUUCUCGAUUCUUUUUUGUUUUGUUUAUCAUAAGUGUAAUUUCUUUUAAACUUCAGAGUGGAUGAAUAGAAAAUCAGCUGUCAAAUUUUGCCAAUCUUCUUUGGGAAGAAAUCAAUGUAGUUGUUGUCACAAUUUUAUCAUUUUCUGUUUCUUUGUAGUUGCUUGAAGAUUCUGUUGAAGACCGCCUGGAGAAGGCAGGGGCUUUGAUGUCAGAUUCUGAGAAAAUCGAAGGGGAAAAAGAGGUGGACUUGGAUGAGAACAAGGUAAUUUAUCGAUUAUCUGGAAAUUUCAGAACUUUUAAAACUUGAAACUUCAUCCAUUAUGGUUCAUCAUUGAUGACACAAUGGUUAAAUGCUUCUCCAACUUUUGUUUUCUGUUAAAAUCAAACUUUGUUUUGUUCUUUCCCAUCUAUGUUGUUCCUUAAAAUUGUUAUUUAUUCACGCCUAUCUCUCUUUUUACGUUGUGUUUUUCCAGAAGAGAUCAGUGGAUGGUGGAAAACAAGGAUCAUCCGUGAAGAAAUUGAAAAAGGACAAGAUUGUUGGAACCACAGGCAAAAAUGUUCGCUCGGAGACGAACACUGUAUCCAUGGCACCUCGAGUCAAACCAGAGCUUACCUUGCCUGUAUUGUAUGGACCUAAUUCUUCUAUCUAUAGUUUACCCACAUAUACAUAUACGAGUAUGACAUAGCUUAUGUGACAUUUCUCAUCAUGUAAUGGUUUAAGUUUGCUUGCUACUUUUUUAAUCGAUAACAUGUAUUUUCGUUAUGAGUCAAAAGUUAUGACACACAUGUGGCUCUCCCUCCACUGUCCACACCCAUAAGUGAGAAACUAGUGGGAUGUGACCCUAGUUUAUAGAACUAGUAAAAAUUACAUAUUACACUAUGAAGGCAUCCCAAUUAAAGAUAAAAUCUAGGAAAGCAUCCCUUAUGACAAUCAAAGUGGGCUAUGCGGGAUGUAUAAAUAUAUGUUGUGUUUGUUAUCCUUGAUCUUCUGUUACACAGAUCUUUAAUAUAAAUAGGAAUUAGCGACCAUUUGUUUUGAUAAUUCUUGUCAUGUGAUUACAAGGUUAUAUGCCUGAAGUUGUUUCCACUACCAUACUUAUACCGGAUGUAAAAUGCAUGUAUCCUAGAAGAUAAGUAGAAAUAUAACAUGUAUUAUGUCUUUGCUAUUUUUACUCAUGCAUUUGUUAAUUGCUUUUCAGAUCUACGGAAGUAGAACAUUCCAUUCUUGAGGACCUUAGAAACCGUGUACAGCUGGGUAGUGCGGCGCUACCAUCAGUUUGUUUUUACACUUUUCUUAACACACACAAUGGGUAAUUUAGGAACCUCCAUUUAACAUUGUCCACACAAUAUUUUUUUCUUCUCUUUUUGUUAGUACUGUUCCUAAUGUUUACCUUGAUAUUUUUGUAGUUUAAACUGUUCAUCGAUAUCUCAUGAUGGUUCACUUGUUGCUGGUGGAUUCUCGGACUCCUCAUUGAAGGUUCUUUAAUUUCCUAAUGUAACAUUAGCUUAGCACCAUCAAAGGUCCAGUUAUUAGAUGUCCCAUUAUCACUUGAGGCUGGACUGCUAGAAUUCUUGUGGAGUUCACUAAUGUUAUAUUUGUCUUUACGCAGGUGUGGGAUAUGGCAAAGAUUGGACAAUGUGAGUAUCUAAGAUAAGGCUUUCUUUUAUGGCAAAGGGGCAAAGAUCUGCAAUUUUUUUGUUAAUAAAAAAAUUAAAACUAUUUUCAGCCAUUUAUUGUGUUAGUGCUGGAAAAUAUUAGCUAUGUAUUAUUUGUGAGUUCAAUUAAUACUCUUAACAGUUAUCGAGAUCAAAUAACAGAUUGUAGAAAUUUGCGAAAAAUUGUUCUGUUCAUUUUCUCGACAGAUUCAUAGGUGCUUAGGUACAUGAAUAUAUAUAACAAAGCUCAGGUAAUUUACUUUUUAGAAUCACAAAAUAAUGUUAAAUACGUCCACAGCUGAUUGUUUGACAAUAAGUUUCCUAGCGAUCCCAUUCAACCUCGCUUGCGAACCAAAAAAAAUAAAAAAAUCUACCACUUACGUAGGGAUGCUUUUUUUACAUGGUUGUCAGCUACUGCAUACACAGAAAUUGAGAUUCCGACUGAACAGUUGUUAGUGUAGACAAUGAGAACAGAUCUAGCUGGUCUAGGGACAUGCUUGGCACCUUUUUUUGCUAGUUUUAGUCUCCUUGUGGAUAAGCUACCACUUCCAAAGAAGUAACAGUGUAGAGACUGCGAGAACUGCGCUAAUCAUUACACAGUCACGCAUACAGAUAAUGAGACCUAGGUCCAAUAUUUAUAAUACUCCUAAAAGUUGAGAUGUCUUUUCUAUUUUAUUUUAUUAAACUAUUGGUGACAGCUACUGUGCAGGGAGAAAAUGGGACUCCAACUGAACAGUUGUCAGGGUCAGAGAAUGGGAGAAGAUCUUAUACUUUGCUUCAGGGACAUGCUGGACCCGUUUAUUCUGCUACGUUUAGUCCUCUAGGGGAUUUCAUUCUUUCUUCUUCAUCAGAUUCAACCAGUAUGUAAUCACUUACCCAUUUUGUGCGAUCUGCAUAGUUUACUUUUAGUUUCAAUUUUAGUAUUGAAGCUACCUUUUGGUAUGCCAAGUGACAAAAUCAAUUCGUUUGCUACAGUUCGGUUAUGGAGCACAAAGUUGAAUGCGAAUCUUGUCUGCUACAAAGGUCAUAAUUAUCCUGUUUGGGACGUUCAGGUAUAAAUUUAAUCUUAUGUUAUAUGUUAGCAGCUUUGUUAUCAUAAUUUUAUGUUGUUAGAAUUGGUAUCUGCACUCAUUUACUUUCAUUACAUUGAAACAGAUUUUGAUAUUUCUCUUUUGUUUGUUUUGGUUGCAGUUUAGUCCUAUGGGACAUUAUUUUGCCAGCUGUUCGCAUGACCGGACUGCUAGGAUUUGGUCCAUGGACAGGAUCCAGCCUUUAAGAAUAAUGGCAGGGCAUUUAUCUGAUGUUGAUGUGAGCGAUUCUUCACAAUUUGAAAGCAGAUAUAUCAUUUUUUUAUUACUUCCAGAAUAGCUGCAUGAUGGCCUUCUUGAUUUGUUUCUUUAACCAUCGAUUCAAGCACAUAUUUUAUUUAUGUGGCCCUUCAGCAAUAUGUUCUGCUUCUUAAAUAGCUAUUUAUCUCAAUCUUUUAAUUGUUUUCUUAUUGUCAAAUUGAUUCAGUGUGUCCAGUGGCAUGCAAACUGUAACUACAUUGCUACUGGUUCUAGUGACAAAACCGUUAGGUUGUGGGAUGUGCAAAGUGGGGAGUGUGUACGGAUCUUCAUUGGCCACAGAAGCAUGGUACUAUCUUUGGCCAUGUCCCCUGAUGGACGUUAUAUGGCCUCAGGUGAUGAAGAUGGCACAAUUAUGAUGUGGGAUCUUUCAAGUGGUCGUUGUAUUACACCUUUGAUGGGGCACACCUCCUGUGUUUGGACACUUGAUUUUAGGUAAGUAAUUUUGUUGUAGUCUACUCUGUUAACAAAUUUUGGUUACUUCAUUGUUUAAUCAAUCCUUAUAACUUAUCAGUGGUGAAGGUUCACUUCUGGCUUCUGGAUCUGCUGACUGCACUGUCAAGUUGUGGGAUGUCACUUCUAGUACGAAAGCACUAAAACUGGAUGAAAAGUAAGCUAAAUAACAAUAAACGGUCUGUUUGCAAGUUUCAGUCUUGUUUUCGUUAUGAAUAUUUACAGCUUAAACAAUAAUUCUGAUUGACAGAGCGGGAACUACAAACAGAUUAAGAUCUCUAAAAGCUCUACCAACCAAGAGUAGUCCUGUAUACUCAGUGCGGGUAAAGGAGUUGAUAUUAAUAGUAUAUCUUGUUUUACAAUGCUCUAUCAAAUAGUAUUUAAGGACUAAAGGUAAUUAUCUGCUGACGUUUAGUGUUUUGGUCGCAGUUCUCUCGAAGGAAUCUUUUGUUUGCUGCUGGAGUGCUCUCCAAAAGUUCAUGAUAGGUGAAACGGUGUUACGAUUUAUGAGUUAAAUCAGGGUUGGUGAUUUCUUUCCUCAAAUCAUUUUUUAACUGAUAUUACUUCGGUUCUUCUUCCCUUGCCUGUUCUGAUGCUCUUCCCCUGAUGUAUGGACGUAUGGGUUUAUCUUUAUUAUUCUUGAUAAAUAAUAAUAUUAUUAGAUCAGAUUAUUAUCGCACAAGAAAAUGGGACACACUAAAUGACACAGAACUUUCCAACUCUGUCAGAUGUUAUUUUGGACCUUUUUGGUUCAUUUGAAGGUCCGCAAUUUUCUAGUUUUUGUGAUCUUCUAUUGUCAUUAGACUUUGGACAGGCCGAUUUGGUAGGGAUGAUUUCUAUGGUGACGAGCCAUUUCCACCGCCAAUAAGCCUAUACAAUUUUCCAUGUGGGUACACUAUAGUGUUCCAUUUCAAGUGUCAUAUUGCUGUUACGCGAUAAUCUGACCCUUUAGUUAUUCUGCAAUAUAUGGGUUCUGUUUCACUGUUUGACAUGGGGUAAUAUAUCAUUAACAAACUCACCCUUUUUACAGCUCUGCUAGUUAAAUCUUUACUAAAUUGAGAUCGUAGCCACUGUGUUGUAGGAGACUCUAAUUUGAGUAAGAAGGCGAUUUACUAGGAAUCAACUUUGUUUAAUUUAUUGUUGGAGUUGAAUAUACUUUUUAAACAGAAAAAGAAAAAUCUAAUUGAGAUCAAUUGUCAAAGAAAGUGUUUUUCCUUGCAUUAUUUCUCCAUUACUUUAACAGGCUUUUGCCAUUGUUUUGAGCAAUGGCUCAUUUUGAUCUAUGGUUACUUGUAGACAAGUUGUAUGAAUCGUGGAUUGUAAUUAAGAAUUGGUUCCACAGGAUCAUUGGAAAAACAGAAGUGCAAGGUGAUGCCCAUGGGUCCGGCUUGGCAUAGCUGCAACAGGUGCACUCAAAAUGACUACUAGCGUAUGAGGACUGGCUGUGCAUGAAAUCAGUGUGCUCAGACUAGUCAGACUUUGCAAUGUCCACAAUGUCCAGCUCAGUGUUGAUUGUGUUUGCCUUGUUGCUGUUUUGAGGAAAAUCAUGGGAAUUCUGGAUUGUAUAUGAAGUAUUCUGAGUUCAGUUUAAGAUUAUUCAUCUUUGCCUAAAUUGUUUGCAAGUGGGAACGAAAUUGCGAUUUGGGAGUAUUGUAGGUAUUCUCUAAGAAUUAUGUAUCUUUACAAUUUACAUUACAUGUGUACAUAUUGAUACUUGAUAGUGAGCAAUUGGGGAUGCUCUUCCAGUCCUUCCCUUAAAAGGCUAAAAUCCUCCUAAAGAUUUUGUAACAUAUUUUUACACCUAAAAUGCUUAGAAUUUUUUUUUAUUUUUAUGAUAGUGAUAUGUGAUGGCCUAUGAAUUUGAAGCACCUUAGUACCAGGACAUGCACAAUGUUAUAGAGUGGCCAACAGGCAGCAACUUACUUGGUAGCGAAAAUCUGAAUAAUUAUGACAAGCUUUUAAGGCCUUAAGCCUUUGUACAAAAAGGAUGAGCAAAAUACUCUGGCUUCUAAGUAAAUUUCUUAUCUAUGCUUCAAUCCAUCAACAGUUCCAAGUGUUCAACUAUAAUUUAUCUUUCACAAACUUGCAGCUGCACACUUCUUUCAAAUGUAAGAACUAAACAUAGCAUAUUCAGCUGUACCAUGAGCCACCAAGUUUUACCAUACUUCUUAACAGCUAAUACAAGAUGGUUCUAUACUUCUAAAUCAACUAAGAACUCAAAACACUAGAAAGCUAGCUAGCCAGCUAGGUAGCAUGAUCAUUCCUAAAGCUAACUAGGUAACUAACAUUCUUAACUCACUCUGUCAUCUCUUUUUGAUUAUGUUUAAAUGUAAUGAUUUUGACCUUAUAUUAAUGUAGUGAGCAAUGGAUAUUUAUUGUUUGAAGAAAUGUCUGAAUGAUAUUUUUUUCUCUGUUUAAGAAUUUGUAUAGAGUUGUUAUAGGGAAUUUGUCUGAAUUUUUUUUGGGAUUGAUGUCAAACAAGUUAAACUCGAUUAAGAGGGUUUAGAAGUUUUAGUGCAGAAAACAACGUCUCAACUUGCCGAAGCUCGCUUGUUGCCAUCAUUGAGCUGCUGCAUUUGGUUGAAUGGUUUCUUUAGAGGGCUUUGGUUACCAACUUCACCUUAAGAAUCUUUGUAUCAUUCCCAGCUUUUACUCCCACAACUAUACUGUAUAUAAUUUUAACUUCAAUUAUAGUACAUAUGGACUUGAUCAUGUAGACUAUACUGAUUAUGACUGAAUGCUGACUUUGUAGUUUUCACAAUUUGUCAUUUGGGUAACAAACAUGACUUUGCUAGACCAGGAGACAGAGCUUGCUCUAUUAUAGUAAAUCCUUGUUGUGUCCAUGACACUUGUUGCUUCAAUGGUUGAAUUUAUGUCGUAAUUUGUGAAGGAUCACUUGUUAGUGAUAGAUUUGAUAUUGUGGAAUAACAUGGUGAGCUGCAGUAGGCUGUUAGGAUUUUACAUUGUAAAGCGACACUUCUCACUUAUCAAAUUUCAUAAUGGGAUAUAUUUGGACGAUUUUUAUUAAUGUGUUCAAGUUAUAUUUUACGCGACUUAUUUUUGAGGAUGAUGCUCUCUUCGUAGAAGUGAAAUGUCAUUUUCCUUACUGGCCUCCCUGGUUGUUAUAAAUCUAUGUUGGAACAAAUUAAUGGUUCGUUGGCUCUGAUAUGGGAAUCUUCAAUCUUGGAACUGAGAAGUUUGGACCUCUGUAGUUAUACAAAGGUGAUGACUGAUGACGUUGUUUCUGGGCUCUCCGCAAUUUUGGAUUGCAUCAAAUAAAAUGUACAGCAGGCAGUCAGCUUUAACGUUUAGAAAGUUGCUUUUCAUAUGUGACAGGUAUCGUGUAAACUUCUGUUUCCUUGAUGGUUCAAGUAUACACUAGUAAAAUGUCUUAAAACUCAGUGAGAUUUUGACUUCAAGCUUGUUUUGAUGCAUGGGCAUAUGUAGACAGGAAAGAGGAAUGGUCAUUACCGCUGAGUGCAACCUAUGGAAACGCCAUCACCUGUAUAUGUUGAAAACGCCAUUCACUAAUGUUUGUAAUUGUUUACUGUAUAUGUUUACUGAAAUACUGAACGUCAAUGAUCAUAGGUUUUGUUUUGCCUAUUUCCCAAUAAAAGUGCGUUUUCUGUGUUCCUGGUAAUUUAUUUAAAUAAUUAACCUACAUCACCUUAGAUAAAUAGAUAUGAUAAUAAUAAACUAAUAAAGAAGAAUAGAAAGCGAAAAAUAAAACAACAUGAACACACAGAUUUACGUGGAAACCCAUAAACAGGGAGAAAACCACGGCGCACCAAAGAUCCACUAUGUUCAAAGGCAAAAUUCAAGCAACAUUACAAAGAGGGAUUUGUGCUGCUGUUAAUUCUUAUGGGGUAGAGGCUAUACAUCAAUCAUUAUGUACAAAGUUUCUUAUGAAAACAUGUGGAAUUCAUGUCUUACGUACUCAAAAGUCCAUCAAUGCUUGUUGAUUACUGCCCAGAUAGCUUCAUCCCUCUUCAUUGAGAGAUCCAUCAAUGCUUGUUGAUAUUGUAAUUCUAUGUUUUCUAAUUGCUUUCUUAUUUCUUCGUCAUCAUCAUUGGGGUUAACUGAAACAACCACAGAAGCACUUUCAGUAGAGAUGGUUGAUACCAUCGACACAUCAGAAGCUCGAUGAUCUGUAUUAGGUUUAUGACGGGAUCCUUCAAUCGAACUCCAAUCAAUAGAAGGGGCAACAUGUAAUUGCUUGGCACUUUCAAGGUGGUUGUCAAGGAAUCCUUCAAUUUGUAGGAAGGGGUCUUUUAGAAGCUCUUUUGCUGACAACCUUUGAUCUUCUGAAACUAGACACUUCUCUAUAAACUGUUUUACUUCUGGAUCUUUCACUUUAGCGAGAGAAGCGGGUUUUUUCCCUAGUGAAACCUUCCUGUAUAUCUGCGCAGAAUUUUCACAUUCACUAUAAGGAUAUUCAAGAGUCACCAUCUCUAGCAGGCACAUACCAAAAGAGUAUAUAUCCGCCAACUCAGUGUAAUCUUCAUCGUAAACUUCAGGUGCAAUAAAAGCAGGCGUCCCAAUAACGCUGUGUUCCUUAGCUUGUUGCAUUAUUAUCGCAAACCCUAGGUCACCUAUUUUGACCUCACCAUGGUUGCCAUUAAUAAAAAUAUUAUCACACUUUACAUCUCUAUGAAUAACGGGUGGAUUCUGGCUAUGCAGAUAAUCUAACCCCAUCAAAAUCUGCCUCGCCCAUGCCUUAACAGCUUUAACAUCAACCUUCUUGUGUUUCCUUGUAUACUGUCUCAAACUCCCUGAUGUAAACAACUCAGUAAUAAUGUUAAUAGUCUUCUUCUUCUCAUCAAACCAAGAGUUGUAAAACUUGAUGAUAUUCUUAUGUUUGAAUGACUUCAACAAUCGAACUUCAUAAUCUAAUCUCUUUAAAUCUUCAGGUUUAUGAACAACUUCUUCAAUCAUUAUUUGACUCCAUGCAACUUCAAUUCCAUUAACUUCAUCAAAAGCUUUGUAAACUGUUUUGAAAGCACCUUCUCCAAGAACAUCUUUGAAACGAACAUAUCGACCAGUAGGAUCUGUUUCUACUACUAUAUCAAUCUCUUCUUCUUCUUCUUCAAAAUCUGGUGGCUCAUAGUCACAAACUUCAUCUUCACAACAUGAAUCCAUUGAAAAAAUCAAUGAACAAAAUCUGUUGGUAAUAUCUCUCCGACUCUCCCUAUAUAUAUACAUACACGGAUUAAGGAUUACUGAUUAAAAUAAAAUACUAAUGUUUUAAGAGUUCUAGGUCGUCUACUUCUCUGUAGAAGAUUACUAAUUAAGUAAUUAGUGAAAUACUAAACCUACCUUCAUUAGGCCUAAACAUUCAAGUCUUAAACAACCCUAAAUAUUGGUGGGUUUGAGCCCAUGGUCCCAAAGGCCCGGCGUAUCAAUUACUAGAUUACCAUAUUUUAAUCCAAGAUUAAUUUGUGAUACAGAAACACUAAAUAACACUUGUUACAAAAUAAUAUUUUCCAAUAGUUAGUUCUUUAUUUUAAUGUUUAAGACUCUGUUCAGUUCAAGAAGUGUGACAAUUAUUUGAUUUCUAUAAUACUUUAAGCUUCAUAAUAUAGCAAAGAUGUUUGGAAGCUUAAUGCCGGCUAAGACUAGGCUUAGUUAUAAUGUUGUAAUGUGUCCUGUUCCAAGAAUAGAGUAGUCAAUUGGCUUUGUGUAAGGUGUUCAUUAGUCGGCGAAUUUGGCGCAUGGUUUACAUAAAUUCAAAAUGUAUAAUUAAUUCUCUCCAAGAAAAGCUUGAGUAAAAUCACCUGAUAUAUGUGUAUCAAAUGGGAUAUUUAAUCGAAACAUCAUUGUUGCCGUCAGCAUAAAUGCAUGAACCAAACUAGUAGGACUCACAAGAAACUGAUAGAGGCUGAAAACAAGAUGGUUUUAGCUACUUUCCAUUCCCUUUAAUAGAGUAACAAAAACACUCUUGUUUUUCUUCAUUCAUUCUCUUCUCUCCUUAGUCUAUGUUUUUUUUUGGAGAAGAUUGAAGAGAACAUGGACGGGUUCCCAGAGAAGAGAAAGAUGAAGAAUCAAAAGGGAGGACUUAUAGCUAAGCCGAUAAUACGAAAGGGUGGUCUUAAAACCAUGCCUUUUAUCAUAGGUUUGCUGGUUAAUUAUAGAUACACUCAUGCAAUUGUUUCAGUGAGAAGGUUGUGUGUAGAUAUGUAUCAGACUUUCUUUCUUACUGCUUUUCUUUUUGUUUUCCACAGCAAAUGAAACGUUCGAGAAAGUUGCAACCUAUGGACUACUUGCUAAUAUGAUUAUAUACUUGAUAACUGGAUAUAACAUGGACAGUGCUACUGGAGCCAACGUUUUGUUCAUAUGGUCAGCUGUAUCUAAUUUCACUCCCAUUCUAGGAGCUUUUCUUUCUGAUUCUUAUUUGGGACGUUUUCGAGUUAUUGCACUUGGAUCAGUUGCCAGUUUUCUUGUAAGUAUGCAGUUUGAUUAUAUCCAACAUAUUAUUUAAAAUUUCUGUUAUACCGCUUGGUUUUUUUUUUAUUGAACUUAAUCAAAUUCUCUGUCUUAGGGUGGUACAUUACUUUGGUUAACAACCAUGUUGCCAGAAGCAAAGCCGACUCAAAGAGGCGAACAAGCAACGGCAGUCCAACUAAGUAUGUUAUUUGGUGCUUUUGCUCUAAUGUCUAUUGGAGCUGGUGGUAUUAGACCAUGUUCAUUAGCUUUUGGGGCUGACCAGUUGGAUAAAGAAGACAACAGCCCAGAAAAUGCAAGAGUAUUACAGACAUUCUUCAAUUUGUAUUAUGCGUCAGUCGGGGUUUCCAUCAUGAUUUCUGUGACUGCUUUUGUGUAUAUUCAAGAUAAAUUGGGGUUUAAAGUUGGGUUUGGAAUUCCUGCUGCUCUCAUGUUUUUAGCUGCAGUAUUCUUUUUAUUUGGUUCUCCAUUAUAUGUCAAGGUGAAGGCAAACAAGAGUCUGUUUACUGGAUUUAUUCAAACAGCUGUGGUGGCCUUUAAGAAUAAACAUCUUGCAUUCCCCCCUAACAAUACAGAUGGGUGGUAUCAUCAUCGAAAGGGUUCGAAGUUUGUUUCUCCAACAGAUAAACUUAGGUAAUCAUGAAUCGUUAUUAAACCAUUCAUUGUUAUAUCCAUCGUUGUUGUCGCCAUCUUAUGAUAUUUUUUCUCUUAAACUAAAUUUGUCCUAUGCGUAAUUUUUUUUUGCAUAAUUCUGAAGAUAUAAUCCAAACAAAUCAGUAAAAAAUUAUGAAGAAAACUUUUAACUUGUCCCGUUUUGGAUCUGACGACUCAGUACGUCCUGUCUGAGGUAUACAGAUUUGGUCGCGCUGAGUUGUCCUUAACGUAAAAGCUUGCUGAUAUUGUUUUGAAUAUGAAUGCGAUGUAUACUGUUUAAGAAUAACUUAAAAUGUACACUCUGUAGGUGGUUGAACAAAGCAUGCAUCAUUAGAAAUCCUGACAAGUACUUGAACCGUGAUGGAUUUGCUUCAGAACCAUGGAAACUGUGCAGAGUUGAGCAAGUGGAAGAGCUAAAAGCUCUUGUCAAAGUAAUGCCUCUAUGGUCUACAGGAAUUAUGAUUGCAGUAACAAUCAGCCAGCAUUCUUUCCCAGUACUUCAGGCAAGAACAAUGGACAGAAAAGUGACACCAAGCUUCGAAAUCCCUGCAGCAUCUUAUGGCGCCUUUGCCAUUCUGACACUGACAAUAUGGGUUGGUAUCUACGAUCGCAUUUUGGUUCCUCUUUUGGCAAGAUUGACUGGCAACCCAAGAGGAAUAGGCCUUAAACUUCGUAUGGGGAUUGGACUAUUUUUGUCAUGCUUAGCCAUGGCAGUAUCGGCUAUAGUGGAAAGCAAGCGAAGAGAAACUGCCAUUGCUCAAGGGUUAUUAGAGAAGGGAAAUGCACUUGUAAACAUAUCGGCAAUGUGGCUAGUACCACAACAUUGCUUAACUGGCUUAUCUGAGGCCUUCAAUGCUAUAGGACAAAUUGAGUUCUAUUACUCUCAGUUCCCAAAGAGCAUGUCUAGUAUUGGUGUUGCUCUAUUUGCUUUAGGCAUGGGAUUUGGUAAUUUAUUAGGGAGUCUUAUAGUAGAAGUUGUCGACAAGGUUAGUAGUAGAGGUGGAAGAGAUAGUUGGGUUGCAAGUAACCUUAAUAAGGGUAGAUAUGAUUACUACUAUUGGUUACUUACUUUGUUGAGUGUGGCCAAUCUUUUGUAUUUCAUAGUUUGUAGUUAUGCUUAUGGGAAUUGUGAGGAACAAAGAUCUAAGGUUUGGGAUGAAACUGAAGAAGUAAAUGAAGUAGACAUUUCUAAGUCCAAAGAACUGCCUCUGAUUGUUUCAGUUUGAUUUGAGGGUAUGCAUGGAAGUGGAACAAAGACAGCAAUUGGGAAACUGAAGAGUGACUGUACAAACAUUUUCUUUUCUUUUAAUUUACUUGUAUUAUGUUUUUUCUGCCAAUUGUAAGUCUACUUGAUUAGAACAAUAUGUAAUCCAAUUUCUUCAUCUUAUCUUCUCUCUUGAUUAUAACCAUUAUGUUGCAAGAUAUAUUUAGUCGACUUUUACAGAAAAAUGCUGGAUUAAAACAGGAAACGAGAUCAUAUGCCUUGCAUGGAGCAUAAACUAUAUGAGUGGACAUAUCAAAGUUGAAAUGUAAAAAUAAUAAUUUUCA
RNAcentral lists this long non-coding RNA (27425 nucleotides) under Aquilegia coerulea. RNAcentral describes it as "long non-coding RNA (ACOE_LNC001328)". Lineage: Eukaryota; Viridiplantae; Streptophyta; Magnoliopsida; Ranunculales; Ranunculaceae. The record is from RNAcentral.